UACAGAGGUCUCAAGCGUUGUUCGGAUUCAUUGGGCGUAAAGGGUGCGUAGGCGGCGCGGUAAGUCGGGUGUGAAAUUUCGGGGCUUAACUCCGAAACUGCAUUCGAUACUGCCGUGCUUGAGGACUGGAGAGGAGACUGGAAUUUACGGUGUAGCAGUGAAAUGCGUAGAGAUCGUAAGGAAGACCAGUGGCGAAGGCGGGUCUCUGGACAGUUCCUGACGCUGAGGCACGAAGGCCAGGGGAGCAAACGGG
Molecule: ribosomal RNA, 253 nt
Filed under: uncultured bacterium
Lineage: Bacteria
Description: partial 16S ribosomal RNA
Rfam family: Bacterial small subunit ribosomal RNA
Source: RNAcentral